UCUGGUUGAUCCUGCCAGUAGUCAUAUGCUUGUCUCAAAGAUUAAGCCAUGCAUGUCUAAGUACAAACCUUAAUACGGUGAAACCGCGAAUGGCUCAUUAAAUCAGCUAUGGUUCCUUAGAUCGUCUCAUCCUACUCGGAUAACUGUGGAAAAUCUAGAGCUAAUACGUGCUUACAAGCCCUGACCUCACGGGAGGGGCGCAUUUAUUAGAUCAAAACCAAUCGGGGCUUGCCCCGUCUGCUUGGUGACUCUGGAUAACUUUUGUGCUGAUCGCAUGGCCUCUGCGCUGGCGACGUAUCUUUCAAGUGUCUGCCCUAUCAACUUACGAUGGUAGGUGAUAUGCCUACCAUGGUUAUAACGGGUAACGGGGAAUCAGGGUUCGAUUCCGGAGAGGGAGCCUGAGAAACGGCUACCACAUCUAAGGAAGGCAGCAGGCGCGCAAAUUACCCACUCCCGGCACGGGGAGGUAGUGACGAAAAAUAACGAUACGGGACUCUUUUGAGGCCCCGUAAUUGGAAUGAGUACACUUUAAAUCCGUUAACAAGUAUCUAUUGGAGGGCAAGUCUGGUGCCAGCAGCCGCGGUAAUUCCAGCUCCAAUAGCGUAUAUUAAUGUUUGCUGCAGUUAAAAAGCUCGUAGUUGGAUCUGAGGACUCGAAUUGGUGGUGCACCAUACGGUGUUACUGCCGAUUCGGCCUACCUAGUCGGUGCUCGCUCUUGGUGUUCUUAAUUGAAUGCCCUGAGUGCCCGGCAAGUUUACUUUGAAAAAAUUAGAGUGCUCAAAGCAGGCCAUUAGCCGGAAUACUUCAGCAUGGAAUAAUGGAAUAGGACUUCGGUUCUAUUUUGUUGGUUUUCGGAACCCGAGGUAAUGAUUAAGAGAGACAGACGGGGGCAUUCGUACUGCGGUGUUAGAGGUGAAAUUCUUGGAUCGCCGCAAGACGAACAACUGCGAAAGCAUUUGCCAAGAAUGUUUUAAUCAAGAACGAAAGUCAGAGGUUCGAAGACGAUCAGAUACCGUCCUAGUUCUGACCAUAAACGAUGCCAACUGGCGAUCCGAGAUCGUUUGCUUAUUGACCUCUC
Molecule: ribosomal RNA, 1078 nt
Filed under: Macrostomum lignano
Lineage: Eukaryota; Metazoa; Platyhelminthes; Macrostomidae
Description: SSU rRNA
Rfam family: Eukaryotic small subunit ribosomal RNA
Source: RNAcentral